AAGUAAGCAAGAGCGUAUGAAGGAUGCCUAGGCUCUUAGAGGCGAAGAAGGACGUAAUAAGCUGCGAUAAGCUGCGGGGAUUGGCUAAUACGAAUCAAUCCGCAGAUCUCCGAAUGGGGCAACCCACUCUGAUGAAGUCAGAGUAUUUUUACUUUUUUACAGAGUAAAGAAGCAAACCUGGGGAACUGAAACAACUAAGUACCCAGAGGAAGAGAAAACAAUAGUGAUUCCGUGAGUAGUGGCGAGCGAAAGCGGAAAAGCCUAAACCACCUUAGUUAAGGCUAACGUGGGGUUGUAGGACUGACACUUUGACUUGGUAAGAAAACUCAAAUUAUUCUGGAAAGAUAAGCCAUAGAAGGUGAAAGCCCUGUCGAGGCAAUCAAGCUAAGUUAGUCAGUAUCCUAAGUAGGUCGGCGCUGGUGAAACACCGACUGAAUUUGCCGGCACCAUCCGGUAAGGCUAAAUACUCCUAAGAGACCGAUAGUGAACUAGUACCGUGAGGGAAAGGUGAAAAGUACCCUGAACAAGGGGGUGAAAAGUACCUGAAAUCAUACGCUUACAAGCGGUCGGAGCCCUUUUUGGGGUGACGGCGUGCCUUUUGCAUAAUGAGCCUACGAGUUACUCCUCUCUAGCAAGGUUAAGGACUUAAGGUCUGGAGCCGAAGCGAAAG
RNAcentral lists this ribosomal RNA (670 nucleotides) under Ctenophora environmental sample. RNAcentral's name for it is "partial Bacterial large subunit ribosomal RNA". It matches the Rfam family "Bacterial large subunit ribosomal RNA", at positions 1 to 677 of the family's 2925-position model. The record is from RNAcentral. Lineage: Eukaryota; Metazoa; Ctenophora.